This 409-nucleotide ribosomal RNA is filed under the name actinobacterium BAL73. Its description in RNAcentral is "bacterial SSU rRNA". It matches the Rfam family "Bacterial small subunit ribosomal RNA", at positions 47 to 460 of the family's 1533-position model. The record is from RNAcentral. Lineage: Bacteria; Bacillati; Actinomycetota; Actinomycetes.
CUUAACACAUGCAAGUCGAGCGGUAAGGCCUUUCGGGGUACACGAGCGGCGAACGGGUGAGUAACACGUGGGUGAUCUGCCCUGCACUCUGGGAUAAGCUUGGGAAACUGGGUCUAAUACCGGAUAUGACCGCAUGCCGCAUGGUGUGUGGUGGAAAGAUUUAUCGGUGCAGGAUGGGCCCGCGGCCUAUCAGCUUGUUGGUGGGGUAAUGGCCUACCAAGGCGACGACGGGUAGCCGACCUGAGAGGGUGACCGGCCACACUGGGACUGAGACACGGCCCAGACUCCUACGGGAGGCAGCAGUGGGGAAUAUUGCACAAUGGGCGGAAGCCUGAUGCAGCGACGCCGCGUGAGGGAUGAAGGCCUUCGGGUUGUAAACCUCUUUCAGCAGGGACGAAGCGUGAGUGAC